AUAAUUCUUUACGUUCAAAAGAGUUCAUAUCAUUGCCUUGCCUAUCAAAUUUACAUCAUCAAAAUUACGAGAACAUUAGCGUCUCCUAAGACUUGAAUUCUUGAAACCUCCGCUGAACCCUCUCUGGCAUCUUUUUUCAUCAAAAGCCAGUUCGGGCUAUGGAAUAUCUUUAAAAUCAACAUAUUAUGUCGUUCUUUUCGCCUUCUUGGCACAUAGACUCGCCUCCUCGAACUUCACUACAUAAGAACCCAAACAUGAAACUUUGUUUCGACUGCUUGGAGUGAAUUACCCAAAUAGUCAUUGAAUUUUGCGAAAAGUUUUCAUGGGGUCACUGAACUUUAAAAAUCACCCCAUUCAUCACUGAACUUUGUAAAAGAUUUCCACGGAGCCACUGAAUUUUAAAAAUCACCUUAUUCAUUACUGAACUUUGCAAAAAGUUUCCACGGGGUCACUGAAUUUAACAAAAAGUUUCUAAGGGAUCACUAAAUUAGAUGAUUUUUAAAGUUCAGUGAUUUCGUGGAAACUUUUGGCAAAGUUCACUGAUGAAUUAGAUGAUUUUUAAAGUUCAGUGACUCUGUGAAAACCUUUUACAAAGUUUAGUGACCAUUUGGAUAAUUCACUCGACUUCUUGCCGCUUUGCAUCUUCGGUUCCAAUCUUCUUCGAAACUUUUUGCCUUCGUUCUUAUUUUCUUCAUCAUCACCCACGGAUUUAAUUCUUGCACAACCCUUUUGAUCUUUGGCGCCAAGAUUUAUAGGUUUUGAAGUCCACUCCUCACAUUGAUCUUGGUCAUCAAGACUGUCGCAACUGGUAUUCUAACUUGAUGAAAUCUCAGAAUCAUGAUCCAUACCGUCCAGGGGAGACGCCAUUAAAAGAGCUUCAAUGAUUCGAGAUCUUCUUGCGCAGAACUCCUCCGGUUUCCCCAAUGCAGCCACCGCUAUUGAUCCCAUUGAUAAAAUCAAAAAUAUUUUCCAUCCCUACAUCGUUAUCAGAGUACUCUCUCUCGAAAAAAGUUCUCAGAUCAAUCCCUUUACCCAUUCUUGAAAGUCUCCAAAUUUUUUCACUUUGAA
Molecule: long non-coding RNA, 1068 nt
Filed under: Olea europaea subsp. europaea
Lineage: Eukaryota; Viridiplantae; Streptophyta; Magnoliopsida; Lamiales; Oleaceae
Source: RNAcentral